UUCGGAACCUCCGUAGGGCUAUGUCCCAGGAUGAAACUCCGGCCAAGGAUGUCCAUCCCUUUUGGUGGCUGUUUUACGGCAAUUGGAGGCAACUUCUCUUGAAAGUCGCAGUUCUUUUAGUUGCCAUACUGUUAUUUCUCUGUAUUUUUACAUCAUGCAUCAUUCCUUGUAUUCGUCACAUGAUGACUAAGAUGUUGACAUCAGCGUUUGCUGUCCAGAAUAUCAUGUUGGUCCAGCGUGAACAAGAUGAGUGGGACCACCUUGCGUAAAUCGCCUGCCGGUUUUUGUUUUGUUUUGCUGGUUU
Long non-coding RNA from Syngnathus acus (greater pipefish), 304 nucleotides. RefSeq lists it as uncharacterized. Lineage: Eukaryota; Metazoa; Chordata; Actinopteri; Syngnathiformes; Syngnathidae. The record is from RefSeq and is a predicted model, not a curated record. The transcript has 3 exons.